This is a long non-coding RNA of Molossus molossus (Pallas's mastiff bat), 542 nucleotides long. RefSeq lists it as uncharacterized. NCBI's taxonomy places the organism in Eukaryota, Metazoa, Chordata, Mammalia, Chiroptera, Molossidae. The record is from RefSeq and is a predicted model, not a curated record. The transcript is spliced from 4 exons.
GGGAGCGGGGCGGGAGCCGUCGCCCCAGAGGUCCCCGCGGCUCCUCGAGGAUGUGACGUUCCUCGGCGCGCUGGGUCACCUGCUCCUGUUUGGCAGCUCUUGGCGGCCCUCCGGUCCCCAGGUUGUCAUGCGCCUGGCAGCGGGAGGUAGGAGCCGGUUGCUGGCACAGGGAUGAGUGGAAAAGGCGGACCGGAGGCCGAGGAGGGGCGUGGGCCUGGCCCGGUGCAGCCGCUCAGUGGGACGGACUGCAAGUGUGGCUCAGUCACCCAGGACUCCUUCAGGACAGGUGGGGGCCCUGCUGGACCGGCCCAGGCGCCGUCCUCAGUUCUGGAGCUUCUGGAAGUGAGCGGAGAGCCUGGGAGGGGCUGCCUGACGCCCCACAGCCUGCAGGGCAGCAGCUGCGGCAGCCCCGGGCCCUCGGUGCGGAGGGUCUGCGGGAGCCUUCCGACGGAACCAGCACAUCAUCGCAAGGGGUGCGGGGUAGCCCUGCAGUUGUGUGGGGGGUGUAUACACGAUUCUUACAAUAAAGUAAUCCAUGUUUA